This 533-nucleotide long non-coding RNA is filed under the name Macaca nemestrina (pig-tailed macaque). RNAcentral's name for it is "lncRNA (ENSMNEG00000046114.1)". Lineage: Eukaryota; Metazoa; Chordata; Mammalia; Primates; Cercopithecidae. The record is from RNAcentral.
UGUCAUGUAACCUUUAGUAUUCAAACCAAAGCAAUCUGGAGCAGUCUACUUGGACAGAUUUCCUAGAAUCACACCUUGCCCUCAGCUCCUGUCACUGGACUAUAGGACUGUGGAUAUGUUGUCCGGACUACUGCCAUUUCUCCUUCUGGAGGUGAGAUCUGGGAACACCAAUCAGAAAAAGCAGGAAGAUCAUUCUUCAGGGAGCUUGUGUGCCUGCCUGAAAAGUUGGCUAGACAUUCAUCAAUUGACAGGUACACUAUUUCCUCUGUGAAAAAGUAGCCCAUAAAUGCAAUAAAUCUUUUCUUAAUGCAGUGACAAAGGGUUGAGAAUGAACUUCAGUUUUCAGUCUUUGAAACAAAAGAAAAGUUCACGGAAUUCCAUGUGGUCUAAGGGGAAGGAGUAGCGGUCAGGCAGGAGGCAAGGAGACAUUUGUUGGGAAUGUUUUUUCUCACUUGUCUGAGAGAUUUUCCAGAAUUUGGUCUUUAUCUCAUGCCCUGAACAUCCAAAUGCACAAGUAUAAACUGGAAAUGCCG